Molecule: non-coding RNA, 2784 nt
Organism: Callorhinus ursinus (northern fur seal)
Lineage: Eukaryota; Metazoa; Chordata; Mammalia; Carnivora; Otariidae
Source: RefSeq, a predicted model, not a curated record
UUAACACCAUUAAUUUUUAACUGUGACUUAGACGUUUAAUUAUUUAUUGCUGGUCCGUGUGAAAACAUUUAGAAUGGCUGGCAGCCUACCAGGCCCUGAGUUAAACAUUCUACGGCCUGACUAGACUGCUGGGUAGCCAACUUCACAUCAAAUUAAACACAUUCUCUUCAUGAUGAAUAGCUUGGAACCCAAAAACUUGAUUUUGUUACAAAAAAUGCAAGGGGUGUGUUGUUUUCUAAAUUAAAAUUAUUUUAUGUUUUACUGCCACCAUUCUGGUUGUGAUUUGAUGUCAAGUGUAUUUUCUUUGGUGGUGGUGAGAUGGAAGAGAAAUGGACAAUGAGGGACUUUUGGUACUAAUAAAAUAAAAAAAGGACUCCAGCAAGGUUGGACACAAUGUAGCUUAGAGAUGAACAUUCAUGAAUUUUGUAUUGAAAAAAUUUACAUUUCAUUAACAUUUUAAAUUACAAAGGCAGGUCUACAAAUACUGAUUUGUAUGUGUGUGUUCUCAUUGCAUUUUCCAAGCAAACAGUGAAUAACGUAAUGCUAACUUGACUAUAUCCUGUUUCCUUACCAUUAAUUUCCCUUUUUAUUUUAAAGUGUGAGCUAACUGUAAUGUGUAGCAACAUUAAUUUCAGUGAACCCCACUUUACAUUUUCUAUAGAUCUAUGCACAUAAACUCCAUGUAAUGUUCCCUUAUGUAACAAAUGCUUGGGGAUAAUGAAGUGUAGUCCGAGCAUCAUUGCUCAGCUAUGUAGUAAAGCAAUUCUCCACAGACUUGCCACUCUAGUUCUGCAUCCACAUGGAUAGCAAUCAACUGUCUUGAUAAUGAGUGACAAUAUAAAAACGGAAUGUUUGACAAUAUUCCCUAGAGAUUAGAAUUAUUCAACUUCAGUUUGUCAUUCUUUUAAACAUGUACUCUGGGAAGUUCUGUGAAGUUAGAAGGAAUUUGAAAGGGUUGAGGAAAUAGUGGCUGGCUGAUGUAAUGAAUGGGAAUGUUGGAACUGAGAACUCAAGGAGCUGGCUGUCCAGCAGGCUGCCGGUUGAGGGUAAUUGACAGGCAGGUGCCUGAGAAAUGACAGGAAAGGCCCUAGUUUUAGUUAUUGGCAUCAGUAAUAAUGGCAUUAUGGCUCUAGGUUGUGAUUGAAGAAGAAAAUCAUGUAUCAUAUGAAUUUAAAGUGUGUUAACUAUUCAGUUGCAGGAAGUUACAGCAUCUAAAAACUGAAAGCCCUUUAACCAGAAUCUCUCAUUUAAGAACUUGUUCUUGUGUAGUUUGAAAAUAUAGCAGCUUAAGAAAAACAUAUCAGUUUUAGAUAUAUUUUUGGUAGAACUAUAAACUUUAAAAAUCACAGAAUUAAGUAUUUACUUUUAUGAAAGUGCUUUUCCUUUGAAUGCUUGGAGCAUUCUCAGAAACUUAACAUAGUUUGGAGUUCUCUUCUUGAAGAAGCGGCCAUCAGUGAAGAAUACAGCCUUUUGAUGUUGUAGUAUUACUGAGCUCUGACAGUUGUCUUUAUUAACUCUGUCUCCUUCCAGCAGUGUGGAGCCCCCUAUCACUGGGCUUUCCAUGUGUUGUAACUGAAUGCAACAUUUUCAGGCAUGAAUGGGUAAACAUGAAGAAUUUCUUGGUUAUCUCUGUGGUUCUGCCAUUAAACUACUCUGAUUUACUCAUCACAGUUGCAUUCUUGGGAUGAAUUUGUAUUAAGAUCACAAAUGAAAUUCAUUAACUCAUUCAAAAUCAACCGGAGAAUGUUUUUAAUUAAACAGGAAGAUGACGUACAGAAGCUGGCAAUGUUGAAACCUAGAUACUUAAAUAGUACAUCUAAAAUUAAUUGGGGGAAUAUUGAUACAGUUUAAAACAGAAGGAAUAAAAUAAAAAAUGAUUUUUGUUUUUAAAUAAUUGGAAGUGUUGGCCAAAGAUAGUAGUCAUUCUGCCUUGGAAUAACAUUUGGAUUUCACAAUUUGAGUUUUAUUUUCAUGUUUGUUUUGACAAAAUGCUUAUUUUGCUUUCUUCGACAUGAAAAGGUUUAAGGCUUUGAACUUUUUGAAACUGCUAGAUCUAAUUGUUGAAGUUUUGAAAACAAAUCCAAGGGAAUGUCAAAAAUAAAUAAGUUAGAAUUACUAUUGCAGCAAACCCAUCUACUCACAAAAUUGCCUUUCAAAGAUACCUUUUUCUCAAAAACAAAAGAGGGAAACAUAUUUUACAAAUUUAUUAUUGUCAUUUUAAUGCCACUUUAAGUGUGUUUUCUUUGACUCCAAUUUUAACAGUUUAAAAAUAGAUGAUUACCGAAUCUUUUUUUCUUAAAGCAAAGGAGUCCAGCUCAAUAUGUUAAAUCUACUAUUAAAAGUUGCCCUGUUAGUAUACUUUUCUUCAUGGGAUUGUCCAUUACACUUAAGUAGACAAAAUAAGUUAUCUCAUUUAUUUCACACUAUAUGACUUUGUUUCUUCCAACUAUAGCUUCAGCUUUAAAGAAUACCUUCAUCAUUUCUUUUUGCAUCAGCUCAGAAUUCAGAAGGCAUAAAAGAAAUUGCUAGUUUUCAUUCUCUUCAGUAUGCUUCCAUAAAGUAAUCCUUACAUAAUGUGAAGUUUGUUUUGUUUUUGUUAUUAGUAUUUCUUUUCCUACUAGUUACCAAAGAGAUUUAUUAUGACAGUGCCCCCAAAUCAUGUAAGUUGUGGCCUGGAAUAGCAGAUGACGACUUCUUUAAAAAGGUGUAUUGAAGGGCGCCUGCGUGGCUCAGUUGUAAGCAUCUGCCUUCCGCUGAGGUCAUCAUCCCUUCUCAGCUGGGGGU